Molecule: ribosomal RNA, 253 nt
Filed under: uncultured bacterium
Lineage: Bacteria
Description: partial 16S ribosomal RNA
Rfam family: Bacterial small subunit ribosomal RNA
Source: RNAcentral
GACAGAGGUGCUAAGCGUUAGGCGGAAUCACUGGGCUUAAAGCGUGUGUAGGCGGAUCGUUAAGUACCUUGUGAAAUCCCACGGCUUAACCGUGGAACGGCUGGGUAUACUGGCGAUCUUGAGCCACCUAGGGGCGAGCGGAACAAAUGGUGGAGCGGUGAAAUGCGUAGAUAUCAUUUGGAACGCCAACGGUGAAAACAGCUCGCUGGGGGUGUGCUGACGCUGAGACACGAAAGCCAGGGGAGCGAACGGG